UCAGUAACACGUAGUCAACCUGCCCUGGAGACAUGGACAACCCCGGGAAACUGGGAUUAAUCCGUGAUAGGUCAUCUCAUCUGGAAGGAGAGAUGGCUUAAAGGGGUGCGCGGGCUUCUUCUGCGCAUUCGCUCUAGGAUGGGACUGCGUCCGAUCAGGCUGUUGGCGGGGUAAUGGCCCACAAACCUGUAACCGGUACGGGCCUUGAGAGAGGUGGCCCCGGAGAUGGACACUGAGAGAAGGGUCCAGGUCCUACGGGGCGCAGCAGGCGCGAAACCUUCGCAAUGCGCGAAAGCGUGACGAGGUUAAUCCGAGUGGUCCCCGCUGAGGGGAUCUUUUGUCAGCUGUAAAUAGGCAGGCGAAUAAGGGGAGGGCAAGCCUGGUGCCA
RNAcentral lists this ribosomal RNA (388 nucleotides) under unidentified archaeon. RNAcentral describes it as "bacterial SSU rRNA". It matches the Rfam family "Archaeal small subunit ribosomal RNA", at positions 90 to 460 of the family's 1478-position model. The record is from RNAcentral.